UAAGUGGAUAGUGAAACCUGGUGGCUCAACCAUUCAGACUAUUAUCCAAACUGGCGAGCUCGAGAAUGGUAGAGGUGGCUGGAAUUUCUAGUGUAGGAGUGAAAUCCGUAGAUAUUAGAAGGAACACCGAUGGCGUAGGCAGGCCACUGGACCAUUUCUGACGCUAAGGCACGAAAGCGUGGGGAGCGAACCGGAUUAGAUACCCGGGUAGUCCACGCCGUAAACGAUGGAUGCUA
Molecule: ribosomal RNA, 236 nt
Filed under: uncultured Candidatus Saccharibacteria bacterium
Lineage: Bacteria; Candidatus Saccharimonadota
Description: partial 16S ribosomal RNA
Rfam family: Bacterial small subunit ribosomal RNA
Source: RNAcentral